RNAcentral lists this ribosomal RNA (427 nucleotides) under uncultured bacterium. RNAcentral's name for it is "bacterial SSU rRNA". It matches the Rfam family "Bacterial small subunit ribosomal RNA", at positions 355 to 774 of the family's 1533-position model. The record is from RNAcentral.
UGGGGAAUUUUGGACAAUGGGCGCAAGCCUGAUCCAGCCAUGCCGCGUGGGUGAAGAAGGCCUUCGGGUUGUAAAGCCCUUUCGGCCGGGAAGAAAACGUGCGGGUGAACAGUCUGCAUGGAUGACGGUACCGGAAGAAGAAGCACCGGCUAACUACGUGCCAGCAGCCGCGGUAAUACGUAGGGUGCGAGCGUUAAUCGGAAUUAUUGGGCGUAAAGCGUGCGCAGGCGGCGCCAUAAGACAGCUGUGAAAUCCCCGGGCUUAACCUGGGAACUGCGGUUGUGACUGUGGUGCUAGAGUACGGCAGAGGGAGGUGGAAUUCCUGGUGUAGCAGUGAAAUGCGUAGAGAUCAGGAGGAACACCGAUGGCGAAGGCAGCCUCCUGGGCUGAUACUGACGCUCAUGCACGAAAGCGUGGGGAGCAAACA